UAGCAUCUCACAGUUCUCUGGCUCUCGC
RNAcentral lists this non-coding RNA (28 nucleotides) under Rattus norvegicus (Norway rat). Lineage: Eukaryota; Metazoa; Chordata; Mammalia; Rodentia; Muridae. The record is from RNAcentral.